Molecule: ribosomal RNA, 402 nt
Filed under: bacterium
Lineage: Bacteria
Description: partial 16S ribosomal RNA
Rfam family: Bacterial small subunit ribosomal RNA
Source: RNAcentral
UGGGGAAUUUUGCACAAUGGGGGAAACCCUGAUGCAGCGACGCCGCGUGAUUUAGAAGGCCUUCGGGUUGUAAAAAUCUUUUCUAUGGGAAGAAAAUGACAGUACCAUAGGAAUAAGGACCGGCUAAUUACGUGCCAGCAGCCGCGGUAAUACGUAAGGUCCGAGCGUUGUCCGGAAUCAUUGGGCGUAAAGGGUACGUAGGCGGGAAAGCAAGUUAGAAGUGAAAUCCUAUAGCUCAACUAUAGUAAGCUUUUAAAACUGCUCAUCUUGAGGUAUGGAAGGGAAAGUGGAAUUCCUAGUGUAGCGGUGAAAUGCGCAGAUAUUAGGAGGAAUACCGGUGGCGAAGGCGACUUUCUGGCCAUAACCUGACGCUGAGGUACGAAAGCGUGGGUAGCAAACAGG